RNAcentral lists this unclassified non-coding RNA (240 nucleotides) under soil metagenome. RNAcentral describes it as "partial contains 5.8S ribosomal RNA, internal transcribed spacer 2, and large subunit ribosomal RNA". The record is from RNAcentral.
AACAUCGCGCACCUGCGGGAACCUGCGGAGGGAUCAUUACAGAGUUGCAAAACUCCCUAAACCAUUGUGAACGUUACCUAAACCGUUGCUUCGGCGGGCGGCCCGGGUCCCUCCCGGCGCCCAUCGGCCCUCGCGGGCGCCCGCCGGAGGUAAACCAAACUAUUGCAUUGUAUGGCCUCUCUGAGUCUUCUGUACUGAAUAAGUCAAAACUUUCAACAACGGAUCUCAGAUCGGAAGAGC